Long non-coding RNA from Oreochromis niloticus (Nile tilapia), 1199 nucleotides. RefSeq lists it as uncharacterized. The record is from RefSeq and is a predicted model, not a curated record. The transcript has 2 exons. NCBI's taxonomy places the organism in Eukaryota, Metazoa, Chordata, Actinopteri, Cichliformes, Cichlidae.
UAAAAAUCCACCAAAAGCAAGUUUAAAAGAUGAGUUUUUAACUGUUUUUGAAAAGCGACCACUGAGUCCACAGAUCUCAGGCUCAAAGGGAGAAAGUUCCACAGUCUGGCAGCCACAGUUACAAAAGCUCUGUCGCCUUUUGUUUUCAGCCUCGUGUGUUGGACAACCAGCAAGCCCUGAUCACAUGACCUCAGGGACCUGCUGGGAAUGUAUGGAUGUAAAAGUUCACUGAUACAUGUUGGUGCUUGUCCAUGCAGAGUCCUGAAAGUCGAGGUCAAAAACUUAAAGUGGAUUCUGAAUUUAAUAGGGAGCCAGUGCAGCUGAAUCAGCAGGGGUGUGACAUGGGAGUACUGGGAGGACUUGGUCAGAAGCUUUGCAGCAGCGUUCUGAACAACUUGCAGAUGCUCCAUAGAGAGUUUACAUAAACAAGUAAACAGAGAAUUACAAUAAUCCAGACGAGAUGAAACAAAUGCAUGAAUGACAAUUUCUAAUUCGGAGCGCGAUACAAUGGGACUCAGCUUAGCAAUGUUUCUCAAGUGAUAAAAACAGGAGCGAACCAGAGAUUUAACAUGAGCGUCCAAAGUCAGGGCUGAGUCACAAGUUACACCAAGGUUCCUGAUAGAAGGUUUGGCAAAAGUAGCAAGUGGACCCACAUUUUCCAUAACACUAGGUACAAAUUUUUUAGAAGCACAAACAAGGACUACUGUCAUGGCCUGGGUCUGAUGACCCAGAGCUCAUGUAUUUCUUGUAUAUGUUUUUCCAUAUGUUAUGUUUUUGGUGGUUUUCUCUCCCUUUUUGUCCUCCUUCUUCCUGUGUGCUCCCGGAUGUUUUGGGGUCGCUGAGGGGACUGCGACCCGGAAGUGUUCCCGCACUGGAGGCUGCCGCACCUGCCGCUCAUUAGCCUUCACCAGCUGCAGCUGAGCCUUAUGAGGAGCGUCCUAUUUAAGAAGAUGGCGGAGCUCCAGUCAGUGCGGGAUUAUACUAAGUCAAACCUGAGUCGGGAGCCAGGAGCGUCGUCACGAGGGGAAAUCACGGAGCGGAAUCGGGUUUUGGAGUUGUCACUUUUUCACUGUGAUGGACACGUGCGCUGUGUGGGAUUCAUAGAGGAAUCGCCACACGAGCCACAGUGCUGGAUUUGUGUAUAGUUGUUGUUUUUGUCCACUCACCAUAAAUAAAUCCACUGUCCUUCACUAAAAGAG